Panthera uncia (snow leopard) is the source of this 511-nucleotide long non-coding RNA. RefSeq lists it as uncharacterized. The transcript has 2 exons. The record is from RefSeq and is a predicted model, not a curated record. Lineage: Eukaryota; Metazoa; Chordata; Mammalia; Carnivora; Felidae.
GGCAAGAAAACCUUGACUCACACUGCUUUUCUCAAAUGCAGACUUCCAUAACACAUGUUCUCUGUCUUCUCAAGUGCACAGAGGCUUCAGGCCAUCUUCCUGCCCUAGGAAAGGCAUCUGCGUCUCACUGGACAGAGACAUGCGCUGCCCCAAAAUGCCCACUGGGCACCGCUCACACACCCAGCCUGCAGCACCGGCAGGUGCAAAGGAAGCCCUGAACAUAUCUGCAGUACCCCAGGGGCAAACGUCUGAAAUUCUCACCACCACCCGCCCCCCCCACCAAAACGCUGAAAGUGUUGACGAUCUCCCAAAGAGACAAGUUUGCCAGCCUCUGGCACGAGCCUCCUGACUCUACCUCUACUUGCAAAGUUCGAACCUGUAACCUUUUAUCUACUGCAACUGAAGUUUUCCGGGCACUUUCUCUUUCUCUUUCCUCUGCAUCUAUUUCUUCCUCGGGCCACUUUGUGUCACCGCCUGGUUAGUUUCCAAAUACUCUGCUCUAUUCCUCCUC